UUUGAAUGAAGUUUUCGGAUGGAUUUUAAAUUGACUGAGUGGCGGACGGGUGAGUAACGCGUGGAUAACCUGCCUCACACUGGGGGAUAACAGUUAGAAAUGACUGCUAAUACCGCAUAAGCGCACAGUACCGCAUGGUACGGUGUGAAAAACUCCGGUGGUAUGAGAUGGACCCGCGUCUGAUUAGCUGGUUGGCGGGGUAACGGCCCACCAAGGCGACGAUCAGUAGCCGACCUGAGAGGGUGACCGGCCACAUUGGGACUGAGACACGGCCCAAACUCC
RNAcentral lists this ribosomal RNA (282 nucleotides) under uncultured Lachnospiraceae bacterium. RNAcentral's name for it is "partial 16S ribosomal RNA". The stretch from base 44 to 282 matches the Rfam family "Bacterial small subunit ribosomal RNA", at positions 100 to 339 of the family's 1533-position model. The record is from RNAcentral. Lineage: Bacteria; Bacillati; Bacillota; Clostridia; Lachnospirales; Lachnospiraceae.